AUACCUUUCUCGGCCUUUUGACUAAUAUCAAGUGUAGUAUUUGUUUUAAUCAGUUUAAUAUCUGAUACGUGGGCUAAUGGCCCACACGAUAUUAAAUUUAUUUUUUGAGGGGGGAGGGCUCACCACAGUACCUUGCCGCUGCUGGGGUCUUGAGUGUCGCCUUGGCGUUUCACUAUUGCCUUGGAUUGGCGCACCCCAC
Cornus florida is the source of this 199-nucleotide small nuclear RNA. RefSeq annotates it as U2 spliceosomal RNA. Lineage: Eukaryota; Viridiplantae; Streptophyta; Magnoliopsida; Cornales; Cornaceae. The record is from RefSeq and is a predicted model, not a curated record. The transcript has a single exon.